RNAcentral lists this ribosomal RNA (433 nucleotides) under uncultured bacterium. Its description in RNAcentral is "partial 16S ribosomal RNA". It matches the Rfam family "Bacterial small subunit ribosomal RNA", at positions 29 to 507 of the family's 1533-position model. The record is from RNAcentral.
AACGAACGCUGGCGGCAUGCCUAACACAUGCAAGUCGAACGAGACCUUCGGGUCUAGUGGCGCACGGCUGCGUAACGCGUGGGAACCUGCCCUUAGGUUCGGUAUACCUCCCCGAAAGGGGUGCUAAUACCGGAUAAUGUCUUCGGACCAAAGAUUUAUCGCCUUUGGAUGGGCCCGCGUUGGAUUAGCUAGUUGGUAGGGUACAAGCCUACCAUGGAGAGGAUCCAUAGCUGGUCGGAGAGGAUGAUACUCCACACUGGGACUGAGACACGGCCCAGAAUCCUACGGGAGGGUGGAGUGGGUAAUAUUGUACAAGGGACGAAAGCCUGAUCCAGCAAUGCCGCGUGAGUGAUGAAGGGGGUAGGGUUGUAAAGCUCUUUUACCCGGGAUGAUAAUGACAGUACCGGGAGAAGAAGCACCGGCUAACUACGUG